RNAcentral lists this ribosomal RNA (157 nucleotides) under Aspergillus acanthosporus. RNAcentral's name for it is "5.8S ribosomal RNA". It matches the Rfam family "5.8S ribosomal RNA". Rfam says of the family: 5.8S ribosomal RNA (5.8S rRNA) is a component of the large subunit of the eukaryotic ribosome. It is transcribed by RNA polymerase I as part of the 45S precursor that also contains 18S and 28S rRNA. The record is from RNAcentral. Lineage: Eukaryota; Fungi; Ascomycota; Eurotiomycetes; Eurotiales; Aspergillaceae.
AAACUUUCAACAACGGAUCUUUUGGUUCCGGCAUCGAUGAAGAACGCAGCGAAAUGCGAUAAGUAAUGUGAAUUGCAGAAUUCAGUGAAUCAUCGAGUCUUUGAACGCACAUUGCGCCCCCUGGUAUUCCGGGGGGCAUGCCUGUCCGAGCGUCAUU